AAGGAAUAUUGGACAAUGGGCGGAAGCCUGAUCCAGCCAUGCCGCGUGAAGGAUGAAGGCGCUCAGCGUUGUAAACUUCUUUUGGAUGGGGACAAACCACUCGAUUCAUCGGGUGCUGAGGGUACCAUCAGAAUAAGCACCGGCUAACUCCGUGCCAGCAGCCGCGGUAAUACGGAGGGUGCAAGCGUUAUCCGGAAUCACUGGGUUUAAAGGGUGCGUAGGCGGUCUGAUAAGUCAGUUGUGAAAUUCCUCGGCUUAACCGAGUGGACUGCGAUUGAUACUGUCAGACUUGAAUCAGGUUGAGGUAGGCGGAAUGUGACAUGUAGCGGUGAAAUGCUUAGAUAUGUCAUAGAACACCGAUUGCGAAGGCAGCUUGCUAGACCUGGAUUGACGCUGAGGCACGAAAGCGUGGGGAGCAAAC
This 421-nucleotide ribosomal RNA is filed under the name uncultured bacterium. Its description in RNAcentral is "bacterial SSU rRNA". It matches the Rfam family "Bacterial small subunit ribosomal RNA", at positions 356 to 773 of the family's 1533-position model. The record is from RNAcentral.